ACCUGCCGACUAGUCCCGAAUAGGACGAAACGCGCGUCCUGGAU
RNAcentral lists this non-coding RNA (44 nucleotides) under Schistosoma margrebowiei. Lineage: Eukaryota; Metazoa; Platyhelminthes; Trematoda; Strigeidida; Schistosomatidae. The record is from RNAcentral.